AACGAACGCUGGCGGCAUGCCUAACACAUGCAAGUCGAACGAGACCUUCGGGUCUAGUGGCGCACGGGUGCGUAACGCGUGGGAACCUGCCUUUAGGUUCGGAAUAACUCAGAGAAAUUUGAGCUAAUACCGGAUGAUGUCUUCGGACCAAAGAUUUAUCGCCUUUAGAUGGGCCCGCGUUGGAUUAGCUAGUUGGUGGGGUAAAGGCCUACCAAGGCGACGAUCCAUAGCUGGUCUGAGAGGAUGAUCAGCCACACUGGGACUGAGACACGGCCCAGACUCCUACGGGAGGCAGCAGUGGGGAAUAUUGGACAAUGGGCGAAAGCCUGAUCCAGCAAUGCCGCGUGAGUGAUGAAGGCCUUAGGGUUGUAAAGCUCUUUUACCCGAGAUGAUAAUGACAGUAUCGGGGGAAUAAGCUCCGGCUAACUCCGUG
This 433-nucleotide ribosomal RNA is filed under the name uncultured bacterium. Its description in RNAcentral is "partial 16S ribosomal RNA". It matches the Rfam family "Bacterial small subunit ribosomal RNA", at positions 29 to 507 of the family's 1533-position model. The record is from RNAcentral.